AUGGGGGAUAUACAGUUUAUACAUAAAAAUAAGAAAUUAAAAAAAAAAAAUAAUAAUAAUAAUAAUAAUAAUAGCAACAAUAAUAGCAAUAAUAAUAACAACAAUAAUAGCAAUAAUAAUAGCAACAAUAAUAGCAAUAAUAAUAGCAACAAUAAUAGCAAUAAUAAUAACAACAAUAAUAGCAAUAAUAAUAACAACAAUAAUAGCAACAAUAAUAGCAAUAAUAAUAAUAACAUAGCAAGUAUAAAAAAGCUCGAAAAAAGUAAAAAAAUAAUAAAAGAAAAGUCUAAAUAUGUAAUAAACCUUUUAUUAAAAAUAAGUGAUGAAAAAAACUGUCUCGAUAAAAAUAAAAGAUUUAUGAUAAAAUUAUUAAAAAGGAUAUAUAACAAUUUGUUCAAUAUAGAUAUAUUUAUAGUAGAUUAUAUUACUACUAUUAAUAAUAAUAUUAGUUGUAACAGUGAUGGUAGUGGUAAGAAUAAAUGUAAGGCAAGUAGUAACCUUUGGAAACAGUUCGAUUUUAAUCAGAAUAAAAACAACUGGGUAAUUGAUAAUGUACUUCUAAAUGAAAAUGAUCGAAUUCAAGUUAAAAAAGAUGUAAAAAGAAGUGUUAACACAUGGGACAUACAUAAAAAUAAUAUAUACGAAAUAAAAAAAGUAUAUCAGUCUAUUUUGAAAAAUAUAAUUUGUAGUAUUUUAUAUAAACAUUCGAGUAAAAUUUAUUAUGCACAAGGAGUUCAUGAUGUAUGUCUUGUUUUUGUUACUUUAUAUUUUCACGAGUUUCUGUUAAGAUAUAAAAAAUAUGUAUUUUUAGAUUAUUUUAUAUCAAAGUUUGUUGUAAAUAAAGUGUGUGAGGAGGUUUUCACAAAAAAGCGAAUACGUUAUACACGUAUGACACAUACAGUUGUUAAAAACGUACCAAAGGAAGAAGUAAAAAGCAGAAUUGUGAAUAAUUCUAAGUACAUAAAAGAUUCUAAUUUAUUACCUGAUUUGUUCAUAAAGCAAUUGAAUAAUUCAGAAACAAAAAUAAGUAAUAGUGUUUAUGAAGGUGAUACAAUCAGUCAAACUAAUUGGAACAAAAACAGGGACAGAAAAAGAGAAGAAAAAAAAAACAUAAUGUACAAUUUGAUGAUAUUUUCUUAA
Molecule: long non-coding RNA, 1140 nt
Filed under: Piliocolobus tephrosceles (Ugandan red Colobus)
Lineage: Eukaryota; Metazoa; Chordata; Mammalia; Primates; Cercopithecidae
Description: lncRNA (ENSPTEG00000014136.1)
Source: RNAcentral